GAAUUACUGGGCGUAAAGAGCUCGUAGGUGGUUUGUCGCGUUGUUCGUGAAAUCUCACGGCUUAACUGUGAGCGUGCGGGCGAUACGGGCAGACUUGAGUACUGCAGGGGAGACUGGAAUUCCUGGUGUAGCGGUGGAAUGCGCAGAUAUCAGGAGGAACACCGGUGGCGAAGGCGGGUCUCUGGGCAGUAACUGACGCUGAGGAGCGAAAGCGUGGGGAGCGAACAGGAUUAGAUACCCUGGUAGUCCACGCCGUAAACGGUGGGUACUAGGUGUGGGUUUCCUUCCUUGGGAUCCGUGCCGUAGCUAACGCAUUAAGUACCCCGCCUGGGGAGUACGGCCGCAAGGCUAAAACUCAAAGAAAUUGACGGGGGCCCGCACAAGCGGCGGAGCAUGUGGAUUAAUUCGAUGCAACGCGAAGAACCUUACCUGGGUUUGACAUGCACAGGACGCCGGCAGAGAUGUCGGUUCCCUUGUGGCCUGUGUGCAGGUGGUGCAUGGCUGUCGUCAGCUCGUGUCGUGAGAUGUUGGGUUAAGUCCCGCAACGAGCGCAACCCUUGUCUCAUGUUGCCAGCGGGUAAUGCCGGGGACUCGUGAGAGACUGCCGGGGUCAACUCGGAGGAAGGUGGGGAUGACGUCAAGUCAUCAUGCCCCUUAUGUCCAGGGCUUCGCACAUGCUACAAUGGCCGGUACAAAGGGCUGCGAUGCCGCGAGGUUAAGCGAAUCCUUUUAAAGCCGGUCUCAGUUCGGAUCGGGGUCUGCAACUCGACCCCGUGAAGUCGGAGUCGCUAGUAAUCG
RNAcentral lists this ribosomal RNA (798 nucleotides) under uncultured Mycobacterium sp. Its description in RNAcentral is "bacterial SSU rRNA". It matches the Rfam family "Bacterial small subunit ribosomal RNA", at positions 548 to 1344 of the family's 1533-position model. The record is from RNAcentral. Lineage: Bacteria; Bacillati; Actinomycetota; Actinomycetes; Mycobacteriales; Mycobacteriaceae.